Non-coding RNA from Paramuricea clavata, 1339 nucleotides. NCBI's taxonomy places the organism in Eukaryota, Metazoa, Cnidaria, Anthozoa, Malacalcyonacea, Plexauridae. The record is from the annotation of a GenBank genome assembly.
AGGUCAAUUCUGAUGAGGUUCUUGACAUACUCCAUGAUGCUGGAAAUGUUAUUCAUUAUGCUGCCUACACUAAUCCGAAUGGUGGGCCUAAUUUCAGAUGGGGUGACGUGACGUACUCUGAUGUUAGCCAAGCCAAGAAAGCAAAUACCCACCUACACUCCUAUGAAUUGCCUUACAACGUCAAUAGAAUUCAACUGAAACCUACCCGUGUUGAAAGUACUGCAUCUCAGAAUUUUACCCAGCCUUCUGGUGUUAAGGUUUUAGUUAGCUGGUUUCCUUUGCCUGCCAGAGAAAAAGCUUACAUCAAGUGUAAGACUCGAGAGAUCGCUGACGAAAUAGUCUACAACCUCAACCAACAAAUGACAUCGACGUUAUCAAAAAGAUCUUUUGUGCAGAAGUUAGGUGGUGAUAUCGCUGUAUUUGUUCGGAUGACGGAUGAUGAAUUUACAGUCAGGAAACAACUCGAAGGUUGUUGUACCACGUCCCAAGUUGAAGGCGUCUCGAAAAUUACAGUUCCGUCCAAUGAACUGUAUGAGGUAGAUCUUCAAGCAGAGAAAGAAAAAUUGAUGGAAGUCAUGAAAGAUUUCGGAACUGUACAAGUCCUGAAACUUUGGUUUGCAAAUUGUAAGAAAGUUCGUGCAUGUAUAGUGUUCGAGAAAUUCGAAAGCGCUGAGGACGUUAUCCUCAAGUUGAACGAAAAGAGGGACGUGUUGGGAGUUAGGGCGAUGUAUCUGGAGUUGGAAAAAAAGAGAGAAAUCACGUGUGAUGGCAGAUUGUACGACAAGAUAAGGAGGGAAAUCGAAGCACUCAAGAAUGAUGAAAUCAUUAUUGAAGUGGAGCCACGUCAGAGACGUAAGAAGAUAAUAAUUUCUGGAGAGGACCCUCAGGUUAGUUGUACAUGUUUUUUGUCGAAAUAUAAGGAGAUGCAUUUUUAUCUCUAUGUGGUAUUUACAAGCAGGGCUGAGAUGCAAAAUUGUUUUCACAACUGUUUUCGUACAUAAAUUUCAUAGCCUGAGGAGAUUAUGUUGCAGUAACGCUGUCGCUGUUACUGAAUUCAUCUUAAUGAAGACGUUGUUUUGAAUAGGUAAUCACACGGGAAAAGUCGUGCAUUAAUGAUUAACACUGCUUGUGAUUUUUGAAAAUUGUGCCAAAAUUGCACGAGCGCGCCGAGGCGAAUGCAAUUUGACACUUUUUUUCAAAAAUCACAUCAUCACGAGUAGUGUUUUAAAAUUAUUAAUUGCACGACUUGCCCGUGUGAUUAUUUAUUUAUUAUAUACAUGACAAAAUUAUAGCUACCCCCCCCCCCCGGUAUUGAUGUCACGUGAUGCAGAGAACACAU